Molecule: ribosomal RNA, 494 nt
Filed under: uncultured bacterium
Lineage: Bacteria
Description: partial 16S ribosomal RNA
Rfam family: Bacterial small subunit ribosomal RNA
Source: RNAcentral
GACGAACGCUGGCGGCGUGCUUAACACAUGCAAGUCGAACGGAAAGGCCUGCUUUCCCUUGUGGAUUGCGGGUACUCGAGUGGCGAACGGGUGAGUAACACGUGAGUGAUCUGCCCCCAACUUGGGUAUAAGCCUGGGAAACUGGGUCUAAUUCCCGAUAGGACUGCAGGGUGGUGCCUGUGGUGGAAAACGAUUUUCUAGUGGUUGGGGAUGAGCUCGCGGCCUAUCAGCUUGUUGGUGGGGUAAUGGCCUACCAAGGCGGCGACGGGUAGCCGGCCUGGGAGGGUGGACGGCCACAGUGGAACUGAGAUACGGCCCAGACUCCUACGGGAGGCAGCAGUGGGGAAUAUUGCACAAUGGGCGGAAGCCUGAUGCAGCGACGCCGCGUGGGGGAUGACGGCCUUCGGGUUGUAAACUCCUUUCGACCGCGAGGAAGCCACCUGGUUGGAAGGGUGGUGACGGUAGUGGUAGAAGAAGCACCGGCUAACUACGUG